AUUGAACGCUGGCGGCAUGCCUUACACAUGCAAGUCGAACGGCAGCACGGGUGCUUGCACCUGGUGGCGAGUGGCGAACGGGUGAGUAAUACAUCGGAACGUACCUUAUCGUGGGGGAUAACGCAGCGAAAGCUGUGCUAAUACCGCAUACGCCCUGAGGGGGAAAGCGGGGGAUCGAAAGACCUCGCGCGAUUAGAGCGGCCGAUGCCUGAUUAGCUUGUUGGUGGGGUAAAAGCCCACCAAGGCGACGAUCAGUAGCUGGUCUGAGAGGACGAUCAGGCACACGGGGACUGAGACACGGCCCAGACGCCUACGGGAGGCAGCAGUGGGGAAUCUUGGACAAUGGGGGCAACCCUGAUCCAGCAAUGCCGCGUGAGUGAAGAAGGCCUUCGGGUUGUAAAGCUCUUUUGUCAGGGAAGAAACACCGGCUCUAACACAGUCCGGGAAUGACGGUACCUGAAGAAUAAGCACCGGCUAACUACGUGCCAGCCGCCGCCGUAA
RNAcentral lists this ribosomal RNA (501 nucleotides) under uncultured bacterium. Its description in RNAcentral is "partial 16S ribosomal RNA". It matches the Rfam family "Bacterial small subunit ribosomal RNA", at positions 29 to 523 of the family's 1533-position model. The record is from RNAcentral.